Molecule: long non-coding RNA, 702 nt
Organism: Oryzias melastigma (Indian medaka)
Lineage: Eukaryota; Metazoa; Chordata; Actinopteri; Beloniformes; Adrianichthyidae
Exons: 2
Source: RefSeq, a predicted model, not a curated record
AUGUACGUUAGAUAGAAAUUGUUAAAAAUAUUUUAAUUGUACAUCUUUUAUUUAUUUAGAAAAGUUAGUUUCCACUUUUGGUUUUUCAUGGUUCAUUUUGUUUAUUUUUACUGAAUAGAUGGAUUACAAUUGUUUUUUCCCCCUCGUAUUUCUGCUUUACCAAUUCAAAUUUUAAAUUGAUUUAUUUUUAACUUGAACAGAAUUUAGAUAAGAAACCUUUGACUCCAUAUGUCAAAAGCAGUUGUAAAACACAAUCUCUGAAUUCCCAAAUAAUAUAAAAAAACAUAGAAAGUUCACUGUUAAAGUUGCACAGUUAUAAAUAUUUAUUUACUAAUAUUUCACUUAUUGAUUGUGAAAAAUUAAUUUACAAAUACUGGAGUUGUUUUUAAAUGAACAUUUAUGCAAACUGGUGUGCUUUAUUGGAGCUAUUUUAUAUUUAAACACACCAGAAGUUUGUAAUUGUUCUAAUACUAUGAGUAGAUAAGGCCUAGAAGUUUUGUAAACUAUCAAUCUUUAAAGCUAAUCUCUCUACCUUAAAGUAUUUGCAUUCAUUUUUAACCCAGGGUUGGCAGCUGGUGCCACCAAGUGGCCGAAGACGGUACUGCACACUGACUACCGAGAAGAUUUCAGAAACAGGGGAUUUUCUUUCCGGAACUGGGUUGGUGAGUGACUCCGGAUGGAAAGGUUCUGGACAAGUUUGGG